AGUGAACGCUGGCGGCGUGCCUAAUACAUGCAAGUCGAACGGAGUGGCGCACGGGUGAGUAAUGUAUAGCUAAUCUACCCUACACUAGAGGACAACAGUUGGAAACGGCUGCUAAUACUCUAUAGUGUAGGAUGAGGCUAUAUUGUAUCAGCUAGUUGGUGAGGUAAUGGCUCACCAAGGCUAUGACGCAUACCUGGUCUGAGAGGAUGAUCCGUCACACGGGACUGGAGACACGGUCCAGACUCCUACGGGCGGCAGCAGUAGGGAAGAUCGCUCAAUGGGGGACACCCCGAAGCAGCAACGCGGCGUGGAGGAUGACACUUUUCGGAGCGUAAACUCCCUUUGUUAGGGAAGCGGUACCUAACGAAUAAGCACCGGCUAACUCCGUGCCAGCAGCCGCGGUAAUAC
Molecule: ribosomal RNA, 408 nt
Filed under: uncultured bacterium
Lineage: Bacteria
Description: partial 16S ribosomal RNA
Rfam family: Bacterial small subunit ribosomal RNA
Source: RNAcentral